GUCAUUUAGAGGGUCUUCCUUUGGAGACAUUUGAUUCGAUGAAUCCGUCGAAGACUCCAUUGUUCACUCUGAUUCACGCUCUCUUGCCACCCUCCUUCUCAUCCGAGAUAUCCAGUCGAAGCGUCUUCCUAAUAAAGACUCUAGGUCUGUUUCUCUACGGCAUUCAGUGUUUUCUCAGAGCUCCUGGAUUCGUGAAAUGCAGCAGGCUUCAGACAGAUCAAUAAUAAUAAGUGAGAUAUUGGACUCUAGGACAAGAAAUCUUGUGUCAGUGUCUAGGAUAAGUGAUUACGUGCUGUCAAAUGAACUGGUGAGCAUGGCACUUGCAAUGGUAGCAGAAGACAAACAGAUUAAUCGUGUU
RNAcentral lists this unclassified non-coding RNA (358 nucleotides) under Hevea brasiliensis (rubber tree). The record is from RNAcentral. Lineage: Eukaryota; Viridiplantae; Streptophyta; Magnoliopsida; Malpighiales; Euphorbiaceae.